CACGUAGGGGCCAAGCGUUGUCCGGAUUUAUUGGGCGUAAAGAGCUCGUAGGCGGCUCGGUAAGUCGGGUGUGAAACCUCCAGGCUCAACCUGGAGACGCCACCCGAUACUGCUGUGGCUAGAGUCCGGUAGGGGAGCGUGGAAUUCCUGGUGUAGCGGUGAAAUGCGCAGAUAUCAGGAAGAACACCCGUGGCGAAGGCGGCUCUCUGGGACGGUACUGACGCUGAGACGCGAAAGCGUGGGGAGCGAACAGG
This 254-nucleotide ribosomal RNA is filed under the name uncultured bacterium. RNAcentral's name for it is "partial 16S ribosomal RNA". It matches the Rfam family "Bacterial small subunit ribosomal RNA", at positions 524 to 776 of the family's 1533-position model. The record is from RNAcentral.